This 228-nucleotide ribosomal RNA is filed under the name uncultured bacterium. Its description in RNAcentral is "partial 16S ribosomal RNA". It matches the Rfam family "Bacterial small subunit ribosomal RNA", at positions 103 to 334 of the family's 1533-position model. The record is from RNAcentral.
CGGGUGAGUAAUGCUUGGGAAUCUAGCUUAUGGAGGGGGAUAACUACGGGAAACUGUAGCUAAUACCGCGUAGAAUCGGGAGAUGAAAGUGUGGGACCUUCGGGCCACAUGCCAUAGGAUGAGCCCAAGUGGGAUUAGGUAGUUGGUGAGGUAAAGGCUCACCAAGCCGACGAUCUCUAGCUGGUCUGAGAGGAUGACCAGCCACACUGGAACUGAGACACGGUCCAG